CCAGUGGAGAGGCUGUUACUUU
Molecule: microRNA, 22 nt
Filed under: Ornithorhynchus anatinus (platypus)
Lineage: Eukaryota; Metazoa; Chordata; Mammalia; Monotremata; Ornithorhynchidae
Description: Oan-Mir-194-P2_3p* (star (passenger))
Source: RNAcentral